ACGGAGGGUGCAAGCGUUAUCCGGAUUCACUGGGUUUAAAGGGUGCGUAGGCGGGUAAGUAAGUCCGUGGUGAAAUCCCUGAGCUUAACUCAGAAACUGCCGUGGAUACUAUUUGCCUUGAAUAUUGUGGAGGUGAGCGGAAUAUGUCAUGUAGCGGUGAAAUGCUUAGAUAUGACAUAGAACACCAAUUGCGAAGGCAGCUCACUACACAAUUAUUGACGCUGAGGCACGAAAGCGUGGGGAUCAAACAGGAUUAGAUACCCUGGUAGUCCACGCCCUAAACGAUGAUUACUCGACAUCAGCGAUACACUGUUGGUGUCUGAGCGAAAGCAUUAAGUAAUCCACCUGGGAAGUACGAUCGCAAGAUUG
Molecule: ribosomal RNA, 369 nt
Filed under: uncultured bacterium
Lineage: Bacteria
Description: bacterial SSU rRNA
Rfam family: Bacterial small subunit ribosomal RNA
Source: RNAcentral